AAUUUAUCAGGCCCAGAAGGGAGGCUUUUUAGCCCUGUGAAGUGUUCACAUCCGGCCUCCGAGUGGCCAGGGCUGUAAGCAGAGCCGCGGGUUAUUUCUUGUGGCUGACCUGAACUGGACGCCGCAAUGAACCAGACAAGGGCCUCUUCGUCAUUGCUCCCUACUGCUCUCGGAGUCCCAACAUUUGGAGUCAUUGUUCGCCAAGAGGGACUGGAAAUGCAAUCAUAGCCUGUCUAAUGCAGCUUUUGAUGUUACGCUUAAAGACAGCUGAGUUUGUGUACCUCAGAAAAUAGACUACAAAAAGCAUUGAGGAUGGGUUUAAUUCUCAGGCAACUUUUCAAAGAUUGUCGAAAAACUGUACCUCCUCUUGUUAGAAGAUACACAGCAAAGUUUUGGCCUUUUCCAAGAACUUGACAGUUCCUCCGUAUGCCAGAGGAUUAGAAGAUUCCAGAGGCAAGAGCCAGCCCCGGGAGAGGACAGCUGCACCUGCGACAUGUUGCACAUUCCCCCCCAAGUGUCAUCCCCUUCAAUGAGUCAUUUAUUUGUGUGAUGGCAUUGUUAUUCUCUGUUAAAAUACAAAUAACCUUGGAAAGGUCA
Molecule: long non-coding RNA, 597 nt
Organism: Ailuropoda melanoleuca (giant panda)
Lineage: Eukaryota; Metazoa; Chordata; Mammalia; Carnivora; Ursidae
Exons: 3
Source: RefSeq, a predicted model, not a curated record